Molecule: ribosomal RNA, 728 nt
Filed under: uncultured bacterium
Lineage: Bacteria
Description: bacterial SSU rRNA
Rfam family: Bacterial small subunit ribosomal RNA
Source: RNAcentral
GAUGAACGCCGGCGGUGUGCCUAAUACAUGCAAGUCGAACGCGUUGGCCCAAUUGAUUGAUGGUGCUUGCACCUGAUUGAUUUUGGUCGCCAACGAGUGGCGGACGGGUGAGUAACACGUAGGUAACCUGCCCAGAAGCGGGGGACAACAUUUGGAAACAGAUGCUAAUACCGCAUAACAGCGUUGUUCGCAUGAACAACGCUUAAAAGAUGGCUUCUCGCUAUCACUUCUGGAUGGACCUGCGGUGCAUUAGCUUGUUGGUGGGGUAACGGCCUACCAAGGCGAUGAUGCAUAGCCGAGUUGAGAGACUGAUCGGCCACAAUGGGACUGAGACACGGCCCAUACUCCUACGGGAGGCAGCAGUAGGGAAUCUUCCACAAUGGGCGCAAGCCUGAUGGAGCAACACCGCGUGAGUGAAGAAGGGUUUCGGCUCGUAAAGCUCUGUUGUUAAAGAAGAACACGUAUGAGAGUAACUGUUCAUACGUUGACGGUAUUUAACCAGAAAGUCACGGCUAACUACGUGCCAGCAGCCGCGGUAAUACGUAGGUGGCAAGCGUUAUCCGGAUUUAUUGGGCGUAAAGAGAGUGCAGGCGGUUUUCUAAGUCUGAUGUGAAAGCCUUCGGCUUAACCGGAGAAGUGCAUCGGAAACUGGAUAACUUGAGUGCAGAAGAGGGUAGUGGAACUCCAUGUGUAGCGGUGGAAUGCGUAGAUAUAUGGAAGAACACCAG